AGAGCACUCCUACGGGAGGCAGCAGUGGGGAAUAGUUGCACAAUGGGGCGCAAGCCUGAUGCAGCCAUGCCGCGUGUAUGAAGAAGGCCUUCGGGUUGUAAAGGUACUUUCAGCAGUGAGGAAGGUGGGUAUGUUAAUAGCAUACUCAUUUGACGUUAGCUGCAGAAGAAGCACCGGCUAACUCCGUGCCAGCAGCCGCGGUAAUACGGAGGGUGCGAGCGUUAAUCGGAAUUACUGGGCGUAAAGCGCAUGCAGGUGGUUUGUUAAGUCAGAUGUGAAAGCCCGGGGCUCAACCUCGGAAUUGCAUUUGAAACUGGCAAACUAGAGUACUGUAGAGGGGGUAGGAAUUUCAGGUGUAGCGGUGAAAUGCGUAGAGAUCUGAAGGAAUACCGGUGGCGAAGGCGGCCCCCUGGACAGAUACUGACACUCAGAUGCGAAAGCGUGGGGAGCAAACAGGAUUAGAUACCCUCGGUAG
Molecule: ribosomal RNA, 475 nt
Filed under: uncultured bacterium
Lineage: Bacteria
Description: bacterial SSU rRNA
Rfam family: Bacterial small subunit ribosomal RNA
Source: RNAcentral